CGGGAUGUGGCCUAGUGGUUUAGGGCGCCGGCAUGGGGUGCCGGAAACAUUUCGUGGGUUCGAAUCCCGCCAUCCCGACCA
Molecule: transfer RNA, 81 nt
Filed under: Candidatus Nealsoniibacteriota bacterium
Lineage: Bacteria; Candidatus Nealsoniibacteriota
Description: Candidatus Nealsonbacteria bacterium tRNA-Pro
Rfam family: tRNA
About the family: Transfer RNA (tRNA) molecules are approximately 80 nucleotides in length. Their secondary structure includes four short double-helical elements and three loops (D, anti-codon, and T loops).
Source: RNAcentral